CAGCAGCCGCGGGAAUACGAAGGGGGCUAGUGUUGCUCGGAAUGACUGGGCGUAAAGGGCGCGUAGGCGGCGAUCAAAGUCAGGCGUGAAAUUCCUGGGCUCAACCUGGGGGCUGCGCUUGAUACUUGGUUGCUUGAGUGGGGAAGAGGGUCGUGGAAUUCCCAGUGUAGAGGUGAAAUUCGUAGAUAUUGGGAAGAACACCGGUGGCGAAGGCGGCGACCUGGUCCUUGACUGACGCUGAGGCGCGAAAGCGUGGGGAGCGAACAGGAUUAGAUACCCCAGUAGUCCCUGUCUCUUAUAC
This 301-nucleotide ribosomal RNA is filed under the name uncultured bacterium. RNAcentral's name for it is "partial 16S ribosomal RNA". It matches the Rfam family "Bacterial small subunit ribosomal RNA", at positions 509 to 807 of the family's 1533-position model. The record is from RNAcentral.